CUCUCUCCUCCGUUUUUAAAGGCGUAUUUUAUGCUGCCAGAGAGAGCGGCGCGACAGUGAGAGAGUGAGAGACGAUCCUAUCUGCCUCAAAGCCUUUCGCAAGGAUUCGCGAGGAAGCGCUAGCCGGGACUGAGCUGGACUGGACCGUGGCAUUCCUUGGAGGAGGAGGGAGAGCCGUGGAUAUGGAGGACGGUGGGACACGGCACCUCGGCCAUGAGUGCAGGGUGGACAUGAUGGAAGAGGAGGGGGAGCCGCUGACCGGAGGAGAUGGACUGACUGGAGCUGGUGUCAUCCUGAUUCCCAAGCUGCCCCAUGUGGAGUUCAGCCUGGAGUGCAGGGAUCUGAUUGGCUCUGGCAGAGACAGGACGCCCAAUGCUCUAGUCCAGGUUGCUGUCAUCGACCCCCGGGAACAAUACCUGGUCUCCCAAGCCUGCACAGAGAUAGUAGAGGGUAGCAGAGACCCGUUGUUCCUGACAGGGGUGACUUUCCCUCCGGAGUACCCUGCCAGCCCAGAGACGCUAGUCAAGCUCACCGUCUAUGAUGUGAGAGACAAGGCCCGCGACAAUAGCAGUUUCCUGGGCAGCGCUACGUUCUCCGUUAGCGACCUGCUGAGGUCAAAGGACGAUCAGCUGACCCUCAAUCUAAGGUCUUCUGAUGGUGUGCUGGCGGUGGGGACAGUGUUGGUGAGCCGUGUGAACAUGGGGGAGAUGGAGGAGGGGGACAUGGAUCACAUCACGGCCGACGUGCAGCAGGCCCAGAAGUGCACCUUAGUUUGUGAGUCAUCACAGGGAACCCCAAACGACAAAGAUAAUAGCCCCCUGACGGGUGCUGUCUUUAAGAACCCGGUUUGUAAGGUCUACAAGUUCCAGACGGUGGAUAGUAAAUGGAUGCUGGUGAGAGAGCAGAUGGAGGAAUGUACUCUGUCCUUCAGCAUCCCCAGACAGCUCCUCCACCUCUACAUCCAGGAAGACAUGAGGAGGAUACAGGAGCUGAGGGACCUUGGGGAACUGUCUCCCCACUGGGACAACCUGAGGAAGGAGGUGAUUGGCCGUUAUGGACAGGUGAUAGCUGCCUACCAGGAGACCCUGGCUGAGCUGAAUAAGAUCACUGGUACGACUUACUACAUGCACACAGGUCCGUCGUUCAAGCCGAGCUGCAGCAAGGCCCAGAGGUAUCUAGAGUUCAUCCCUAUCAACCUGCACACCCAGAGGAUGAGGGUGACGUGUCCUCGACAAACAGAUGCAUUCUAUGACGUGAUCACGGUGGGGGCCCCAGCGGCCCACUUCCAGGGCUUUAAGGGCGGAGGGCUGCAGCGACUACUGAGCAGACAUGAGGCAGAGAAGAAGAGUUUCAGCACAGCAUACCAGUGCAUCUACUACUCCCCGGAGCACACAGCCAAAGCCCAGGAGGUGUUGCACAGUGUGGGCCAUCUCCAACCUCUCAUCUCGGGCCUGGCAGACCAGCUGCUUCAGGCCGCCCAGCAGCACUCCAUGGCUGGGCUGAGGGAGGCACUCAAGACCCUGGCUGGAAAGACGGAGCAGUUUGUGCAUGCGCUCAAAGAUGAGCUGGUGAAGAGCGCCUUGCUGGCCCUCCACGCUGCACAGCCCGGCUAUGUUACAAAGAACCAGAACCAGACCCUGCCAGGCCACCAGGGUCACAGCCACCAGGACCACCCUAGUCCCAGCCAGAGGGGUCAACAAGGCCAGAUUCCACCCCAGAACCCAGGCCACAGUCCUGGGCAGCCAUCGGCUACAGACAGCCCUGUGGUGGUGUGUAAUAAUGUGGAUGGUGGCUCCCAGACGGCUCCCAUCAGAGAAGACGGGCAUGCUCCUCUGAAGUGCCAGGACUCCAUACCGUGUCAUAAGGAGUACGACGAGGAGGAAUGGGACAGGGUAUGGGCCGACGUGGCGAAGAGCCUCAACUGUGUCAUCGCCAUGGUGGACAAGCUCCAGGAGCAGGAACCAAUCAACAACAACCAGGAACAACCAAUCCCUAAGCAGGUCCUGGCUGACGUCAUCACCUCCCACAACCCCGAAGGGGAUUGGCGGGAGCAGCUCUGCCCUCUGGUGGUGAGGUUGAAGGAGUGCGUCGUGGAGGUGGUGGUGCGGGCCAGGAGGGCCAUGACCUUCGUCCUGCUGCAGGAGGCGGCCUGCAGCAUCCCCCAGGGACUGUUCCUCAAGCAGAGGAGGGAUGUGGUCUUCAGUCAGGCGCUAGCUGCGUUGGCGUGUGGUUUCGUCAUGAGGCUGUACGCAGGGAUGGAGGAUAAGGGCUUCCUCAGGCAGCUCCACCUAGUGGGCCUGGUGGCACAGUUUGAAAGCCUGCUAAGCACCUACAGUGAGGAGAUUGGCAUGCUGGAGGACAUGGAGGUGGGCAUCUCAGACCUGCACCGGGUGGCCUUCAAGAUCACCCAGGCCAAGACAGACGACCCCUGUGACCUGCAACCUGUAGUCAUCGGCAGGCGCGACCAUUAUACUGUAGAAGUGCCAUUACCACGGCUGGCCUUCCAGACGUUACCCCAUGAGAUCAAAGAGGGCAAGGCGUUGCAGGUUUACCCGGUGCUCUUCAACGUGGGAAUCAACGAACAGCAGACAAUAGCAGACAGAUUCGGAGACAUCUCUUUGCAAGAGAGGAUAAACCAGAGGAACUUUGAAAUUUUAGACAGUUAUUACAAAUCACUAAGCGAUAAGGUGCCAUCAGAAUGUCUGCCAUGUUUUCAAACGCAGACGGACUUGAAAGAUUUACUUGGAACCCUGGGCCAGAAUGUAGUGACGAAGAAGAGAAAGAAUGUGGAGAUACUGUGGCUCGCUGGAACGGUGAGGAUAGAAUAAGAUAUAUAACAAGUGGAUCUAUUCUUAUACGUCUGGCUUGACGUCAUUCAUGCAAACUAGUCAGCCUGCUAAUGUCCCUACGUAUGGAGGUUGGUACGUUGGUACCCUGAGGAGAAGUUUUGAACUUGUGAAUGCAAUGCACCUGCUACACUGAAGACUUCAUAAACAUAUUCGACAUCUGGCAGAAGACCAUGCAAGGCUCCAAAUAACCCUGAUGAUUUAGGGGAAAUCUCCCAGAGAAUGGGCAUCCGAUUACCUAAUCACAUAGAUCUGCCGACGGCUGAACGGGAUCAGGUUCACCAGCUGUAAAAGUGCCAAAGACAGGACGUCGAUGUCUGUAACCCUGGAGCAGUGUGCCCUGCUGAGAGACGAGCACCAGCUCAACAAGGAUUACUUCAUACGAGCCCUGGACUGCAUGCGGAGGGAGGGAUGUCGGAUUGAGAAUGUGCAAAAGAAUAUUAAAUGCCGGAAGUAUGCCUUCAACAUGCUGCAGCUGAUGGCAUUCCCCAAGAUCUACCGGCCGCCGGAGGGGACCUAUGGGAAGGUUGACUCCUGAACCCAACCUAUAUGUAGGAACUAAGAUGGCUACGUCCUGAUUCUCCACCCUCCACAGGGAGUGUGCAUGUGCACACUUUGGGAGAAGUGUAGGGAAACAGGACACAGCCGGUGUAAAAACAAACCAUAUGAUUCCUGACGUAAUCUAAUCCAAGCAGUAAAUAUAGUAGCAAUAUAAAUUGUCUAUAGCCAUGCGCUGCAGGUCCAGAUGUAAAAAAGAAAUGAAAGGUUGUAGGUGAUAUUGGCCAUGUUAUGUAACGUUGCUAGGACACACUGUUUUGUCUGAGUUAAGUUUGUCCGUAUUUCUUGUUCAGGUGUUCCUUUGUCAUUUUCUUCUUCGCUGAGUCAUCGUUUGUAAUAUCGGCGAAGCGUGUUGCUUGCCAAUUGAGCAUACUUUCUCAUGCUCUGUUUAUGAAAUGCCUUAUACUUUGUCAUGCUCUGUUUAUGAAAUGCCUUAAAGUCAACACAGUAACUCAUUUGCAUCAGAUGUGGCUUAAAGGAAGCCUUGAGAGGUUCUAUAAGUUCGAGAAAAAGCUGAACAGACUUUCAAGUUUAGCUUGUUGUUCAUGUUCCCUCAGCCUUCUACAUAAGAGACCUGUCUGUCCCUUAAGGAGCCUGAGAGAGCUUACUGUAAAUAUAAUUUAAUUCCAUGAAUAUGUUCUCUUAUUCUCAAUCAUGGUUGCUUUUACGACCACCUCAUAUUUUUUUGUUCAAUAACUCAAUCGUAAUGUGUCUCACAAAAUAUGUUGAAUUACUGCCAUAUCUAUCACAUGCUGUAUAUAACUUUACUUUUGUUUAAAAAUAUUGUUUUCCUUUAUUUUCCCUCCACAAUCAGUCAAUUGAAAACCAAACCAUAACCCCUUUGUAUCAUAUUUAUUUUUAUAUCCUUUUUAAUCCGUUUGUAUGCUUUAUUCAGGGUCAUUGUCUUGGAUUCAAAAGCAUCCAAAGCUCUUCCUGUAUGUAAAAUAACUUUGUUUGCGCUUUGCAAUGUGUUGCAUUCCUGUUUAUUUAAUUCAAAUACAUUUGAUUCAAUUGCUUGGGAUGGA
Oncorhynchus kisutch (coho salmon) is the source of this 4429-nucleotide RNA transcript. It is a transcript of the gene named type II inositol 3,4-bisphosphate 4-phosphatase, with no coding region annotated. The transcript is spliced from 22 exons. Lineage: Eukaryota; Metazoa; Chordata; Actinopteri; Salmoniformes; Salmonidae. The record is from RefSeq and is a predicted model, not a curated record.